RNAcentral lists this transfer RNA (84 nucleotides) under compost metagenome. Its description in RNAcentral is "tRNA-Leu". It matches the Rfam family "tRNA". From Rfam's summary of the family: Transfer RNA (tRNA) molecules are approximately 80 nucleotides in length. Their secondary structure includes four short double-helical elements and three loops (D, anti-codon, and T loops). Further hydrogen bonds mediate the characteristic L-shaped molecular structure. tRNAs have two regions of fundamental functional importance: the anti-codon, which is responsible for specific mRNA codon recognition, and the 3' end, to which the tRNAs corresponding amino acid is attached (by aminoacyl-tRNA synthetases). tRNAs cope with the degeneracy of the genetic code in two manners: having more than one tRNA (with a specific anti-codon) for a particular amino acid; and 'wobble' base-pairing, i.e. permitting non-standard base-pairing at the 3rd anti-codon position. The record is from RNAcentral.
GCCUCUGUGGUGGAAUGGUAGACACACUGCAUUUAGGGUGCAGCGCCUGUGAGGGCGUGAGAGUUCGAGUCUCUCCGGGGGCAC